UGGGCCCGUGGCUCAGGUGGUUAGAGCGCACGGCUGAUAACCGUGAGGCCCUGGGUUCGAAUCCCAGCGGGCCCAUCCA
RNAcentral lists this transfer RNA (79 nucleotides) under Methanothermobacter thermautotrophicus. RNAcentral describes it as "tRNA-Ile". It matches the Rfam family "tRNA". Rfam says of the family: Transfer RNA (tRNA) molecules are approximately 80 nucleotides in length. Their secondary structure includes four short double-helical elements and three loops (D, anti-codon, and T loops). Further hydrogen bonds mediate the characteristic L-shaped molecular structure. tRNAs have two regions of fundamental functional importance: the anti-codon, which is responsible for specific mRNA codon recognition, and the 3' end, to which the tRNAs corresponding amino acid is attached (by aminoacyl-tRNA synthetases). tRNAs cope with the degeneracy of the genetic code in two manners: having more than one tRNA (with a specific anti-codon) for a particular amino acid; and 'wobble' base-pairing, i.e. permitting non-standard base-pairing at the 3rd anti-codon position. Lineage: Archaea; Methanobacteriati; Methanobacteriota; Methanobacteria; Methanobacteriales; Methanobacteriaceae. The record is from RNAcentral. RNAcentral also lists the same sequence under 1 other name.